This 2864-nucleotide ribosomal RNA is filed under the name Acinetobacter baumannii. RNAcentral describes it as "bacterial LSU rRNA". It matches the Rfam family "Bacterial large subunit ribosomal RNA". Lineage: Bacteria; Pseudomonadati; Pseudomonadota; Gammaproteobacteria; Moraxellales; Moraxellaceae. The record is from RNAcentral.
GUUGUAUAGUCAAGUAAUUAAGUGCAUGUGGUGGAUGCCUUGGCAGUCAGAGGCGAUGAAAGACGUGAUAGCCUGCGAAAAGCUCCGGGGAGGCGGCAAAUAUCCUUUGAUCCGGAGAUGUCUGAAUGGGGGAACCCACCUACUUUAAGGUAGGUAUUGCAACAUGAAUACAUAGUGUUGCAAGGCGAACGAGGGGAAGUGAAACAUCUCAGUACCCUUAGGAAAAGAAAUCAAUUGAGAUUCCCUCAGUAGCGGCGAGCGAACGGGGAUCAGCCCAUUAAGUUAUGUGUGUUUUAGUGGAACGCUCUGGGAAGUGCGAACGUAGAGGGUGAUAUUCCCGUACACGAAAGGGCACACAUAAUGAUGACGAGUAGGGCGAGGCACGUGAAACCUUGUCUGAAUAUGGGGGGACCAUCCUCCAAGGCUAAAUACUCCUGACUGACCGAUAGUGAACCAGUACCGUGAGGGAAAGGCGAAAAGAACCCCUGUGAGGGGAGUGAAAUAGAUCCUGAAACCGCAUGCAUACAAGCAGUGGGAGCACCUUCGUGGUGUGACUGCGUACCUUUUGUAUAAUGGGUCAGCGACUUAUAUUCAGUAGCGAGGUUAACCGUAUAGGGGAGCCGUAGAGAAAUCGAGUCUUAAUAGGGCGUUUAGUUGCUGGGUAUAGACCCGAAACCAGGCGAUCUAUCCAUGAGCAGGUUGAAGGUUGGGUAACACUAACUGGAGGACCGAACCCACUGUCGUUGAAAAGCCAGGGGAUGACUUGUGGAUAGGGGUGAAAGGCUAAUCAAGCCUGGUGAUAGCUGGUUCUCCCCGAAAGCUAUUUAGGUAGCGCCUCGGACGAAUACCAUAGGGGGUAGAGCACUGUUUCGGCUAGGGGGUCAUCCCGACUUACCAAACCGAUGCAAACUCCGAAUACCUAUGAGUACUAUCCGGGAGACAGACUGCGGGUGCUAACGUCCGUAGUCAAGAGGAAAACAAUCCAGACCGCCAGCUAAGGCCCCAAAAUCAUAGUUAAGUGGGAAACGAUGUGGGAAGGCAUAGACAGCUAGGAGGUUGGCUUAGAAGCAGCCACCCUUUAAAGAAAGCGUAAUAGCUCACUAGUCGAGUCGGCCUGCGCGGAAGAUGUAACGGGGCUAAAACUAUGUGCCGAAGCUGCGGAUNNNNNNNAUGCUGGAGGUAUCAGAAGUGCGAAUGCUGACGUGAGUAACGACAAAACGGGUGAAAAACCCGUUCGCCGAAAGACCAAGGGUUCCAGUCCAACGUUAAUCGGGGCUGGGUGAGUCGACCCCUAAGGCGAGGCCGAAAGGCGUAGUCGAUGGGAAAAUGGUUAAUAUUCCAUUACUUCUGUGUAAUGCGAUGAGAGGACGGAGAAGGCUAAAUCAGCCUGGCGUUGGUUGUCCAGGUGAAAGGAUGUAGGCAUGUAUCUUAGGCAAAUCCGGGGUACUCUAUGCUGAGAUCUGAUAGCAAGCUGUACUUGUACAGCGAAGUGGUUGAUGCCAUGCUUCCAGGAAAAGUCUCUAAGCUUCAGUUACACAGGAAUCGUACCCGAAACCGACACAGGUGGUCAGGUCGAGUAGACCAAGGCGCUUGAGAGAACUCUGCUGAAGGAACUAGGCAAAAUGGUACCGUAACUUCGGGAGAAGGUACGCUGUUGUUGGUGAUGGAACUCGCUUCCUGAGCUGACGACAGCCGCAGAAACCAGGCCGCUGCAACUGUUUAUUAAAAACAUAGCACUCUGCAAACACGAAAGUGGACGUAUAGGGUGUGAUGCCUGCCCGGUGCUGGAAGGUUAAUUGAUGGGGUUAGCGUAAGCGAAGCUCUUGAUCGAAGCCCCAGUAAACGGCGGCCGUAACUAUAACGGUCCUAAGGUAGCGAAAUUCCUUGUCGGGUAAGUUCCGACCUGCACGAAUGGCAUAAUGAUGGCGGCGCUGUCUCCAGCAGAGGCUCAGUGAAAUCGAAAUCGCUGUGAAGAUGCAGUGUACCCGCGGCUAGACGGAAAGACCCCGUGAACCUUUACUGCAGCUUGACACUGAACUUUGACCUUACUUGUGUAGGAUAGGUGGGAGGCUUUGAAGCUGGAACGCUAGUUCCAGUGGAGCCGUCCUUGAAAUACCACCCUGGUAAUGUUGAGGUUCUAACUCUGUCCCGUGAUCCGGGACGAGGACCGUGUCUGGUGGGUAGUUUGACUGGGGCGGUCUCCUCCUAAAGAGUAACGGAGGAGUACGAAGGUGCGCUCAGCGUGGUCGGAAAUCACGCGUAGAGUAUAAAGGCAAAAGCGCGCUUAACUGCGAGACCCACAAGUCGAGCAGGUACGAAAGUAGGUCUUAGUGAUCCGGUGGUUCUGUAUGGAAGGGCCAUCGCUCAACGGAUAAAAGGUACUCUGGGGAUAACAGGCUGAUACCGCCCAAGAGUUCAUAUCGACGGCGGUGUUUGGCACCUCGAUGUCGGCUCAUCUCAUCCUGGGGCUGAAGCAGGUCCCAAGGGUAUGGCUGUUCGCCAUUUAAAGAGGUACGCGAGCUGGGUUUAGAACGUCGUGAGACAGUUCGGUCCCUAUCUACCGUGGGCGCUGGAAAUUUGAGAGGAUCUGCUCCUAGUACGAGAGGACCAGAGUGGACGAACCUCUGGUGUACCGGUUGUGACGCCAGUCGCAUCGCCGGGUAGCUAUGUUCGGAAGGGAUAACCGCUGAAAGCAUCUAAGCGGGAAGCCUACCUCAAGAUAAGAUUUCCCUAGGACUUUAUGUCCUCUAAAGAGCCGUUCGAGACUAGGACGUUGAUAGGUUGGAUGUGGAAGCAUAGUGAUAUGUGAAGCUGACCAAUACUAAUUGCUCGUGAGGCUUGACUAUACAACACCCAAGCAGUUG